GAUGAACGCUGGCGGCGUGUCUAAUACAUGCAAGUCGAGCGAACAGACGAGGAGCUUGCUCCUCUGACGUUAGCGGCGGACGGGUGAGUAACACGUGGAUAACCUACCUAUAAGACUGGGAUAACUUCGGGAAACCGGAGCUAAUACCGGAUAAUAUAUUGAACCGCAUGGUUCAAUAGUGAAAGACGGUUUUGCUGUCACUUAUAGAUGGAUCCGCGCCGCAUUAGCUAGUUGGUAAGGUAACGGCUUACCAAGGCGACGAUGCGUAGCCGACCUGAGAGGGGGAUCGGCCACACUGGAACUGAGGCACGGUCCAGACUCCUACGGGAGGCAGCAGUAGGGAAUCUUCCGCAAUGGGCGAAAGCCUGACGGAGCAACGCCGCGUGAGUGAUGAAGGUCUUCGGAUCGUAAAACUCUGUUAUUAGGGAAGAACAAAUGUGUAAGUAACUAUGCACGUCUUGACGGUACCUAAUCAGAAAGCCACGGCUAACUACGUG
RNAcentral lists this ribosomal RNA (497 nucleotides) under uncultured bacterium. Its description in RNAcentral is "partial 16S ribosomal RNA". It matches the Rfam family "Bacterial small subunit ribosomal RNA", at positions 28 to 507 of the family's 1533-position model. The record is from RNAcentral.